This 429-nucleotide ribosomal RNA is filed under the name Chloroflexota bacterium. RNAcentral's name for it is "Chloroflexi bacterium partial 16S ribosomal RNA". It matches the Rfam family "Bacterial small subunit ribosomal RNA", at positions 355 to 776 of the family's 1533-position model. The record is from RNAcentral. Lineage: Bacteria; Bacillati; Chloroflexota.
UGGGGAAUAUUGCACAAUGGGCGCAAGCCUGAUGCAGCCAUGCCGCGUGUGUGAAGAAGGCCUUCGGGUUGUAAAGCACUUUCAGCGGGGAGGAAGGCGGUGAGGUUAAUAACCUCAUCGAUUGACGUUACCCGCAGAAGAAGCACCGGCUAACUCCGUGCCAGCAGCCGCGGUAAUACGGAGGGUGCAAGCGUUAAUCGGAAUUACUGGGCGUAAAGCGCACGCAGGCGGUCUGUCAAGUCGGAUGUGAAAUCCCCGGGCUCAACCUGGGAAAUGCAUUCGAAACUGGCAGGCUAGAGUCUUGUAGAGGGGGGUAGAAUUCCAGGUGUAGCGGUGAAAUGCGUAGAGAUCUGGGGGAAUACCGGUGGCGAAGGCGGGCCCCUGGACAAAGACUGACGCUCAGGUGCGAAAGCGUGGGGAGCAAACAGG